This 501-nucleotide ribosomal RNA is filed under the name uncultured bacterium. RNAcentral describes it as "partial 16S ribosomal RNA". It matches the Rfam family "Bacterial small subunit ribosomal RNA", at positions 30 to 523 of the family's 1533-position model. The record is from RNAcentral.
AUUGAACGCUGGCGGCAGGCUUAACACAUGCAAGUCGAGCGGGGGAAGGUAGCUUGCUACUGGACCUAGCGGCGGACGGGUGAGUAAUGCUUAGGAAUCUGCCUAUUAGUGGGGGACAACAUCUCGAAAGGGAUGCUAAUACCGCAUACGUCCUACGGGAGAAAGCAGGGGAUCUUCGGACCUUGCGCUAAUAGAUGAGCCUAAGUCGGAUUAGCUAGUUGGUGGGGUAAAGGCCUACCAAGGCGACGAUCUGUAGCGGGUCUGAGAGGAUGAUCCGCCACACUGGGACUGAGACACGGCCCAGACUCCUACGGGAGGCAGCAGUGGGGAAUAUUGGACAAUGGGCGGAAGCCUGAUCCAGCCAUGCCGCGUGUGUGAAGAAGGCCUUUUGGUUGUAAAGCACUUUAAGCGAGGAGGAGGCUCUUAAGGUUAAUACCCUUGAUGAGUGGACGUUACUCGCAGAAUAAGCACCGGCUAACUCUGUGCCAGCAGCCGCCGCUG